RNAcentral lists this ribosomal RNA (501 nucleotides) under Candidatus Desulfolinea nitratireducens. RNAcentral describes it as "partial 23S ribosomal RNA". It matches the Rfam family "Bacterial large subunit ribosomal RNA", at positions 2423 to 2925 of the family's 2925-position model. Lineage: Bacteria; Bacillati; Chloroflexota; Anaerolineae; Anaerolineales. The record is from RNAcentral.
ACGGUUCCGAGUGGAAGGGCCGUGGCUUACCGGAUAAAAGCUACCCCGGGGAUAACAGGCUAGUCUGGUCCAAGAGUCCACAUCGACGACCAGGCUCGGCACCUCGAUGUCGGCUCAUCGCAUCCUGGGGCUGGAUAAGGUCCCAAGGGUUGGGCUGUUCGCCCAUUAAAGCGGUACGCGAGCUGGGUUCAGACCGUCGUGAGACAGGUCGGUCUCUAUCCGCUGUGGGCGUAAGGGAUUUGAGAGGAGCUGCUCCUAGUACGAGAGGACCGGAGUGGACAGACCUCUGGUGUGCCAGUUGUCAUGCCAAUGGCAUCGCUGGGUAGCUACGUCUGGCAAGGAUAACCGCUGAAAGCAUCUAAGUGGGAAGCCUGCCUCAAGAUAAGAUCCCUCUGUCCGUAAGGACUUAAGAUCGCAGAUAGACUAUCUGUUACAUAGGCAGCGUGUGUAAGCACAGUAAUGUGUUGAGCUAAGCUGUACUAAUGAUUGAGGGCUGAUCCU